AAACUAUAGCACAGUGGAAAGAUAUGUAUUUUAUAAACUCCAGCGAUAUACUUAUUGAAUUUUAUAAGUUAACUGUUUUGCUAUUCUCGGUUGAAGUUCGAACGUAGAUUAUAUAUUUGUGAAUAUCUAAAUAGUUACAGAGAAAACAAUCAGUUUUUAAAAGCGUGUUUAUUCAUUAAAUGUAUUGAUAAAAAGGUGGACCCCUUCUAGUACAUGCAUUCAGUCAUACUUAUUAAUAAUUUCUUAAUAUGUCG
Molecule: long non-coding RNA, 254 nt
Filed under: Mytilus galloprovincialis (Mediterranean mussel)
Lineage: Eukaryota; Metazoa; Mollusca; Bivalvia; Mytilida; Mytilidae
Source: RNAcentral